RNAcentral lists this ribosomal RNA (266 nucleotides) under Rhizoctonia solani. Its description in RNAcentral is "partial small subunit ribosomal RNA". It matches the Rfam family "Eukaryotic small subunit ribosomal RNA", at positions 1528 to 1792 of the family's 1831-position model. The record is from RNAcentral. Lineage: Eukaryota; Fungi; Basidiomycota; Agaricomycetes; Cantharellales; Ceratobasidiaceae.
CUUGGCCGGAGGUCUGGGUAAUCUUGUGAAACUUUGUCGUGCUGGGGAUAGAGCAUUGCAAUUAUUGCUCUUCAACGAGGAAUUCCUAGUAAGCGUGAGUCAUCAGCUCGCGUUGAUUACGUCCCUGCCCUUUGUACACACCGCCCGUCGCUACUACCGAUUGAAUGGCUUAGUGAGGUCUCCGGAUUGGCUUUGGGGAGCCGGCAACGGCACUCUAUUGCUGAGAAGCUGAUCAAACUUGGUCAUUUAGAGGAAGUAAAAGUCGU